CGCCCCUCCGACGAUCUCCAACCGGCGGCGCCGCCUCCAUCUUGUCCGCAUCGACGAGGCGCGUCGAACGGUACCCCGCACGCGUCCAGGGACCCUCAACAUCGGCCGCACGCGCGACGUCUGCCGCCGGUGACCACCGCAUCUGGAACGCGAGCGGCGUCUCUUCAUCGAGCACCUUCAGCGCGUUGCAGACAUGCUUCGCCACGUCGACUUCCACCUCAGCGCCGGGCCCCACCUGUCAGCGCCUCGGGCUAACCAGCCCCGCGCAUUUGCUUCUUCCCGGAUAGGAUCGCGAAGUGGUGUGGUGAGAUACGACAAGUCCUCCGGAUGUUCCUCGGCAAGCUUUAACAGGCAAGCAUUUCCCCUAUACUUCUGCCCCUGCAGAAGUCGCUCACCUAUUUUAUUUUGCCUUCUCCCUCAUGCUAUCCUUAAGUUGCGUUCUUGUCACGUGUCCCUUCCACUUGUUACCUCAAGCAGCCUAUAUUGCCACCAUCACCUCCUACGGCUAUUGUUUGGUUAUCGGGUCUGCCUUGCGAGUCGUAGUGCAUGCUAGUGUUGUGUUAUCUUGAUACCGUUAUGCUACCUUAUCGGGUUAUCUGUUGGGGAACAUGACACAUGGUUUAUGGUUAUAUCUGUUGAGGGUAUCAUGGUUACUUGUUAAUAGUUGUUAGCGGAGGCAUCGGUGGGUCAGUUGCUCGUUUUAUGACGGCUCACUUGUGUUUCCUAAAUAUCUUAGGACCCCGAGUUCUUGUUAUCUGUUCCGAGACUGAGCGCUCUAACCACACGUGGGUAUGUUUCUGGGUCUCCCCUCGACCACUGCCGGAAUCUACAGCUUUGUCCAGUGGCCACAACUAGUUUGCAAUGUUUUACCAUUUGUUGUUUGCGUGCAUGCCAGCCUGUUACUUAAUUAUUUUGGGAAGCCCCUGGGUGCCUUGUAUCCCUUGUUUCUGGUAUGCACGUAUAGGUCGCGGAGCCGCUGCGAAGUGGUUUAUCGCCCCAGUGUGUGUUUAAACCACCUAGUACGCUGUCGCAAACAGCUAGGUCCGCUUCGGAGAUACGGCCGGACUCUGAUACGGGUUCAACUUGGUUAGGUGGCUUCCUGGACAUUGUUGUCGUGAAGGAGAGUGCGAGUCGUGAUGUCCACCUGUCGCAAGUGGGUUGAUCGUGCGUGUGGGCACAUUUGGGCACCCCUGCAGGGUUAAAUCUUAUCGAUAAGCCGCGUCCGCGGUUAUGGACGCUUGGAGCUGUAUGACUCGACCAUAGACAACUUACACCUGUUGUUUAUCAAUAAUAACUUGCGUAGUAAGUUAGUACAACUUCAAUAAUAAAUGGUUAAAACUUGUCAAUCGUGUGAGUGCCCUUGUAAGUACUUCCUUGCGAGGGGGAACACAUCGGCUGUGUUAUGUUUGCGGAGUAUAGAACUGUUAGUUUAUGCGCUCUCUCACCUUCUCUGAUAGACGAAUGUUGUAGAGUGUCUCUAUAGGUUUUUAUUGCUUGCGCGCUGCCGCUUAACCCCACCAUAUUGCCUAUGACGUUCCUCUUGCGUCCUCUAAGUCCCCUGCGUGCCUCAAGUACAAAGGACGACUGGUUGACGAAUGCUUAUACGUCUUGAAGUCUUGUUAAGUACGAACCCGUACUUAUUGCUGCUUCUACGGGAUAUAACCGGGCAGGUAUGAAGAUAUGUUCGAUGAAGAUGACGCUAGCAAGGUUACCCUUCCGGCUUGGCCUGGGCAGGGUUAUGGACGCCAUCGUUUAUCUUCAGGACUCUUAGUCCAAUUUGUAUCUUGUCCGUACUCGGAUGUAUUUGAUCUUCUGUAUGAUUUGGAUCUUUGUAUUGUAUAUUUGUAUCUUGACUCGUUGGAGUCGUUGUUGUAAUAUAUCUGUAUCUUGUGGGCCCUAUUGUAAUCCUGUUGUAAUGAUUA
Molecule: non-coding RNA, 1922 nt
Organism: Lolium perenne
Lineage: Eukaryota; Viridiplantae; Streptophyta; Magnoliopsida; Poales; Poaceae
Source: RefSeq, a predicted model, not a curated record